Alosa sapidissima (American shad) is the source of this 123-nucleotide long non-coding RNA. RefSeq lists it as uncharacterized. The record is from RefSeq and is a predicted model, not a curated record. Lineage: Eukaryota; Metazoa; Chordata; Actinopteri; Clupeiformes; Clupeidae. The transcript has 3 exons.
CAAUGUCUUUACUUUAAACGGUGGAAAACGUCAUUCGACGCCCAACUAUUAAUAUUACGCUUUCAGUUCAACAUCUUUAUAGGCUACUUCAAACUGUGAUCUUACACAAACCAAGGCACUUAA